GGGCGUUUAGCUCAGCUGGUUCAGAGCAUCUGCCUUACAAGCAGAGGGUCGGCGGUUCGAAUCCGUCAACGCCCAC
This 76-nucleotide transfer RNA is filed under the name Bacteroides fragilis. Its description in RNAcentral is "tRNA-Val". It matches the Rfam family "tRNA". Rfam says of the family: Transfer RNA (tRNA) molecules are approximately 80 nucleotides in length. Their secondary structure includes four short double-helical elements and three loops (D, anti-codon, and T loops). Lineage: Bacteria; Pseudomonadati; Bacteroidota; Bacteroidia; Bacteroidales; Bacteroidaceae. RNAcentral also lists the same sequence under 52 other names. The record is from RNAcentral.